This 425-nucleotide ribosomal RNA is filed under the name bacterium. Its description in RNAcentral is "partial 16S ribosomal RNA". It matches the Rfam family "Bacterial small subunit ribosomal RNA", at positions 355 to 776 of the family's 1533-position model. The record is from RNAcentral.
UGGGGAAUAUUGCACAAUGGGCGCAAGCCUGAUGCAGCGACGCCGCGUGAGGGAUGGAGGCCUUCGGGUUGUAAACCUCUUUCGCCAGUGAAGCAGGCCAUCUUCUUUGUGGGGUGGUUGACGGUAGCUGGAUAAGAAGCGCCGGCUAACUACGUGCCAGCAGCCGCGGUAAUACGUAGGGCGCGAGCGUUGUCCGGAAUUAUUGGGCGUAAAGAGCUCGUAGGCGGCUGGUCGCGUCUGUCGUGAAAUCCCCUGGCUUAACUGGGGGGUUGCGGUGGGUACGGGCCGGCUUGAGUGCGGUAGGGGAGACUGGAAUUACUGGUGUAGCGGUGGAAUGCGCAGAUAUCAGGAGGAACACCGGUGGCGAAGGCGGGUCUCUGGGCCGUUACUGACGCUGAGGAGCGAAAGCGGGGGGAGCGAACAGG